AGUGAACGCUGGCGGUAGGCCUAACACAUGCAAGUCGAACGGCAGCACAGUAAGAGCUUGCUCUUACGGGUGGCGAGUGGCGGACGGGUGAGGAAUACAUCGGAAUCUACUUUUUCGUGGGGAUAACGUAGGGAAACUUACGCUAAUACCGCAUACGACCUACGGGUGAAAGCAGGGGAUCUUCGGACCUUGCGCGAUUGAAUGAGCCGAUGUCGGAUUAGCUAGUUGGCGGGGUAAAGGCCCACCAAGGCGACGAUCCGUAGCUGAUCUGAGAGGAUGAUCAGCCACACUGGAACUGAGACACGGUCCAGACUCCUACGGGAGGCAGCAGUGGGGAAUAUUGGACAAUGGGCGCAAGCCUGAUCCAGCCAUACCGCGUGGGUGAAGAAGGCCUUCGGGUUGUAAAGCCCUUUUGUUGGGAAAGAAAAGCAGCAGGUUAAUACCCCGCUGUUCUGACGGUACCCAAAGAAUAAGCACCGGCUAACUUCGUG
RNAcentral lists this ribosomal RNA (491 nucleotides) under uncultured bacterium. Its description in RNAcentral is "partial 16S ribosomal RNA". It matches the Rfam family "Bacterial small subunit ribosomal RNA", at positions 29 to 507 of the family's 1533-position model. The record is from RNAcentral.